Molecule: non-coding RNA, 72 nt
Organism: Phrynosoma platyrhinos (Desert horned lizard)
Lineage: Eukaryota; Metazoa; Chordata; Lepidosauria; Squamata; Phrynosomatidae
Source: the annotation of a GenBank genome assembly
GACAGUGUUGUGUAGUGGUUUGAGCCUUGGACUAUGACUCUGGAGGCCAGAGUUCAAAUCCCUGUUUGGCCA